Melospiza georgiana is the source of this 1082-nucleotide long non-coding RNA. RefSeq lists it as uncharacterized. The transcript is spliced from 4 exons. The record is from RefSeq and is a predicted model, not a curated record. NCBI's taxonomy places the organism in Eukaryota, Metazoa, Chordata, Aves, Passeriformes, Passerellidae.
UAAAGCAGGUGGCAAGUGAAGAAUGGUAUUAAUCUGGACAAAAGCAGUCCUGGACACUGCAGUUCUGAGCCUACAAGAUGGAUAGACUGGGAAAGUGUUGGAAGCCUGUCAACAGAAGUCUUUUAAAUUAAUUUCCUGAUGAGAGCUAUAUGAUCCAGAGGGCAGUUUGGACUGAAUUUAGGGAUGACUUGGAAAUCAAAUCAAAAUGUAGCAAUUUGUAAGCAAGUAAUAGCUCUCAAUAUAAGUUCUCCAGAAUCCAUCUCAAACAAGAUGAUUGUAUCCUAUGAGCCAUGAAAAGUUGAUAUGGGAAAAAAGAGACACAAGAGAAGAGAUUUUCUCUAUACCUUUAAGAGAAUGUUUUGGUAAUCUAGCUGGAAAAUCCCAGAAGAACAUGGAUGAACAGUAAAGCCAGGACAGGUCAGUUUGAGAAACCCUUUGCAUUUUCUGAAAUAUAAAAUUAUCUCCUCCCAGCUGCUCCCCAAGACUUUAGUGAAGAACUGAAAGAAGAAAUAAGUGGAUGACUCCAGGAAAAUAGAAAGUAUGAGCUCUCAGUACACAGAUAAUAAAGCAUAAAUUGCUUUUCCAUUUUCAGAUCAUCAGAAGCUGCUGUUAAUUAACUGUAGGCUGCUCUGAAGGACUGCUAGCAGUACGUUUAAUAUAUGUGAAAAUCUCGGCUUUUUCCACAUUGGCAUCUCUUUGGAAGAGCACUGAUACCACAAGCUGCAAUGACUCUUUCUUGAAAUAAUAUCGUUUGGCUUACUAAAGAGCAGUAAAAUAUUUAAAUUAAUAUUUUCAUGCCAAAUGCAUAAUUAACCCCAUGGGAAACAAAAAGGGAAGCAUUAUACAUUUGUUUAAUAUGUUCUUUCUUAUUGAAAGAGCUAAAUGUAUACUGCAGGUUUUCAAAUAAAGGAAAAAGAAUCUAAAUUAAAUCAUCCCCUGUAACUGUGCAAUAUUUGAUCUUUCAUGAUUUUUUUAAAAAUGUGUCAGAAAUAGUAUUGUGUAACAUACUCCUGGGAGACAAUGUCCAUGUAUGUGUUCAGCUUUUCUGUUUUUGAAAAUAAAAUUGUUCCUGGGUUUUAUGA